This 468-nucleotide ribosomal RNA is filed under the name uncultured bacterium. Its description in RNAcentral is "partial 16S ribosomal RNA". It matches the Rfam family "Bacterial small subunit ribosomal RNA", at positions 28 to 507 of the family's 1533-position model. The record is from RNAcentral.
GACGAACGCUGGCGGCGUGCUUAACACAUGCAAGUCGAACGGAAAGGCCCUGCUUUUGUGGGGUGCUCGAGUGGCGAACGGGUGAGUAACACGUGAGUAACCUGCCCUUGACUUUGGGAUAACUUCAGGAAACUGGGGCUAAUACCGGAUAGGAGCUCCUGCUGCAUGGUGGGGGUUGGAAAGUUUCGGCGGUUGGGGGUGGACUCGCGGCUUAUCAGCUUGUUGGUGGGGUAGUGGCUUACCAAGGCUUUGACGGGUAGCCGGCCUGAGAGGGUGACCGGCCCCGCUGGGACUGAGAUACGGCACAGCCUCCAACGGGAGGCAGCGGUGGGGGAUAUUGCACUAGGGGCGGAAGCCUAACGCGACACCGCCGCGUGCGGGAUGACGGCCUUCGGGUUGUAAACCGCUUUCGCCUGUGACGAAGCGUGAGUGACGGUAAUGGGUAAAGAAGCACCGGCUAACUACGUG